CAGAGACUCUGCCCCCUGGGUAGACCUCCCACCCUGUGUCGUUGUACCUUUGUUGCUUUGGCGGGCCGCGGGGCCCCGGCCCUGCCCCUGGCUCUGGCUAGGGCGCGCCCGCCAGAGGACCUCAAACCCUGAAUGUUAGUGUCGUCUGAGUGCUAUAUAAUAGUUA
Molecule: unclassified non-coding RNA, 166 nt
Filed under: uncultured Dermateaceae
Lineage: Eukaryota; Fungi; Ascomycota; Leotiomycetes; Helotiales; Dermateaceae
Description: sequence contains ITS1
Source: RNAcentral